This 506-nucleotide ribosomal RNA is filed under the name uncultured archaeon. RNAcentral describes it as "bacterial SSU rRNA". It matches the Rfam family "Archaeal small subunit ribosomal RNA", at positions 352 to 859 of the family's 1478-position model. The record is from RNAcentral.
ACAAUGCGCGGAAGCGCGAUGAGGGGAUUCCAAGUGCAUGCACUCUGUGUAUGCUGUUUACUAGUCUAAAAAGCUAGUAGAGUAAGGGCUGGGUAAGACUGGUGCCAGCCGCCGCGGUAAUACCAGCGGCCCUAGUGGUGAUCGUUAUUAUUGGGCCUAAAGCGUCCGUAGCCUGCCGUGUAAGUUUCCCGUUAAAUCCAGCGUCUUAAGCGUUGGACCGCGGGAAAUACAAACAAAGCUAGAGAGUGGGAGAGGUCAGCGGUAUUCUGGGGGUAGGGGCGAAAUCCUUUGAUCCCCGGAGGACCACCAGUGGCGAAGGCUGCUGUCUAGAACACGUCUGACGGUCAGGGACGAAAGCUGGGGUAGCGAACCGGAUUAGAUACCCGGGUAGUCCCAGCCGUAAACGAUGCAUGCUAGGUGUUGGGUUGGCCACGAGCCACCCCAGUGCCGCAGGGAAGCCGUUAAGCAUGCCGCCUGGGAAGUACGAUCGCAAGGUUGAAACUUAA